Molecule: long non-coding RNA, 839 nt
Organism: Lycium ferocissimum
Lineage: Eukaryota; Viridiplantae; Streptophyta; Magnoliopsida; Solanales; Solanaceae
Exons: 2
Source: RefSeq, a predicted model, not a curated record
AAACAUUUUAACUUCAAUAUGUUACUUGUCUACUUGUGGAUUAGAAUAAUAAAAUGCAAGAUAUUUCUGCUGCUGAGGCAAAGUCUUUCAAGGGAUUCCCUGGGAAAGGCUUAGUAUAACCAGGGAGUAGUACAGGUAAACGAGAUUACAGCAAUACAAGAACUAUGAAAUACUCCUCAAUUUUGGGGAGCAUCAUAGAAGGUAAACCUACUCGGUCAGCUCUGUGCACAAUGCUGGGUUCUGUGUCAUUUUGCUUUGUGAAUGCAAAGCCACAAAGAAAGUGUUCGUAUUAUAAAUUUAGACGUAAUUCACGAUCUUUUAAAUCAAUCAUAUUACACUUCUCUAUUUUUUUAUAAUAAGUGUCAAGUUUAAAUAGAAUGUCAGCUUUUUCUCUAACAUUGUUUGGUUGACAUUCUAAUUUAUUAUUGUUUAUACUUUUUGCAGCCCCUUUUGGAUUGAUGUCUCAACUUUGAAGGUGCAUAUAAUUACACUUGAUAUAUUUGACACACUUAGAGUUUACAAGUCAAGAUGUAGAUUUUGAAGACUUCAUGAAGGUUGAAGAGUUAGUUAUCAUUUUGCAAGGACUGCUAGGCAAUAUUUUGUAUUUUUUGCUAUGGAUGCUAGCUUUUUCACUAAGAGUUUGUGUAAGUAGUAUGGUAACUUUGAAUCAUAGUUGUACCAUGACCCUAAUGACAUGUUAAUCCAUGUUUUGAAGUUAAUUAUAUGUAUGAAAUAAUGGUUAUUAUUGAAUAUAUUGUUGAAAUCCAAUUGAUUUCUUGUGCUGUAAGUUGUAUAAUAUUGUGAUGAAAUGGGAUUGAAAUAUGUUUUUAAUGUAUUUA